This 453-nucleotide ribosomal RNA is filed under the name uncultured bacterium. RNAcentral's name for it is "bacterial SSU rRNA". It matches the Rfam family "Bacterial small subunit ribosomal RNA", at positions 340 to 786 of the family's 1533-position model. The record is from RNAcentral.
UACGGAAGGCAGCAGUGGGGAAUAUUGCACAAUGGGCGCAAGCCUGAUGCAGCCAUGCCGCGUGUAUGAAGAAGGCCUUCGGGUUGUAAAGUACUUUCAGUUGUGAGGAAGGUGUUAAGGUUAAUAACCUUAGCAAUUGACGUUAGCGACAGAAGAAGCACCGGCUAACUCCGUGCCAGCAGCCGCGGUAAUACGGAGGGUGCGAGCGUUAAUCGGAAUUACUGGGCGUAAAGGGCACGCAGGCGGUUAAUUAAGUUGGAUGUGAAAUCCCCCGGGCUUAACCUGGGAAUGGCAUUCAAGACUGGUUAGCUAGAGUCUUGUAGAGGGGGUAGAAUUCCAUGUGUAGCGGUGAAAUGCGUAGAGAUGUGGAGGAAUACCGGUGGCGAAGGCGGCCCCUGGACAAAGACUGACGCUCAUGUGCGAAAGCGUGGGGAGCAAACAGGAUUAGAUACC